This 492-nucleotide ribosomal RNA is filed under the name uncultured bacterium. Its description in RNAcentral is "partial 16S ribosomal RNA". It matches the Rfam family "Bacterial small subunit ribosomal RNA", at positions 29 to 507 of the family's 1533-position model. The record is from RNAcentral.
AGUGAACGCUGGCGGUAGGCCUAACACAUGCAAGUCGAACGGAAGCACAGUAAGAGCUUGCUCUUACGGGUGGCGAGUGGCGGACGGGUGAGGCAUACAUCGGAAUCUACUUUUUCGUGGGGGAUAACGUAGGGAAACUUACGCUAAUACCGCAUACGACCUACGGGUGAAAGCAGGGGUUCUUCGGACCUUGCGCGAUUGAAUGAGCUGAUGUCGGAUUAGCUAGUUGGCGGGGUAAAGGCCCACCAAGGCGACGAUCCGUAGCUGAUCUGAGAGGAUGAUCAGCCACACUGGAACUGAGACACGGUCCAGACUCCUACGGGAGGCAGCAGUGGGGAAUAUUGGACAAUGGGCGAAAGCCUGAUCCAGCCAUACCGCGUGGGUGAAGAAGGCCUUCGGGUUGUAAAGCCCUUUUGUUAGGAAAGAAAAGCAGCGGAUUUAAACCCCGCCGUUCUGACGGUACCCAAAGAGUAAGCACCGGCUAACUUCGUG